RNAcentral lists this ribosomal RNA (732 nucleotides) under uncultured Clavulina. Its description in RNAcentral is "eukaryotic LSU rRNA". The stretch from base 289 to 442 matches the Rfam family "5.8S ribosomal RNA". Lineage: Eukaryota; Fungi; Basidiomycota; Agaricomycetes; Cantharellales; Hydnaceae. The record is from RNAcentral.
UCUUGGUCAUUUUAGAGGAAGUAAAAGUCGUAACAAGGUUUCCGUAGGUGAACCUGCGGAAGGAUCAUUAAUGAGUUGUAAUGGGGUUUGAUGCUGGCACGCAAGUCUUUGAGUGCAUGUGCUCGCCCCAACAAUCCAUCUUCCAAACACCCGUGCACAUUUUUUUUUGAGGGAGUUUUGAGUGGAUUGCCUCUUUUGGCGAUCUUCUUCCAUUCCCUUGAAUUUCAUUAUACGCUGUUAACAAUGCUGAACGUGCUUUGUGCCGUUAAGGCCUUUAACACAUAAUACAACUUUUAACAACGGAUCUCUUGGCUCUCGCAUCGAUGAAGAACGCAGCGAAAUGCGAUAAGUAAUGUGAAUUGCAGAAUUCAGUGAAUCAUCGAAUCUUUGAACGCACCUUGCGCUCCCUGGUAUUCCGGGGAGCACGCCUGUUCGAGUGUCGCGAAAUUCCUCAAGCUCUGGGAUGGGUCUUCUUUGUCCUGUCCCUUGGGGCUUGGUUGUUGGGCUUUGCCGUGUCCUUCAUUGUGGGACGGCUGGUCUUAAAAGCAUUAGCUUGAUCCUCGUGCGGUACUGGUUCUACUCAGCGUGAUAAUUCUCUGAACGUUGAGGACAUCUUUUGGAUGGCCAGUCCUCAUUUGGGUUGCUGCAAACCAGGGGUUGCUCAAUCUUGAGCUUCCACGUUUCUCGGUUUGACCUCGAAUCAGGUGGGACUACCCGCUGAACUUAAGCAUA